This 577-nucleotide ribosomal RNA is filed under the name uncultured bacterium. RNAcentral describes it as "partial 16S ribosomal RNA". It matches the Rfam family "Bacterial small subunit ribosomal RNA", at positions 355 to 923 of the family's 1533-position model. The record is from RNAcentral.
UGGGGAAUAUUGGACAAUGGGCGCAAGCCUGAUCCAGCAAUGCCGCGUGUGUGAAGAAGGCCUUCGGGUUGUAAAGCACUUUUAUCAGGAGCGAAACGCUGUCGGCUAAUACCCGGCGGAACUGACGGUACCUGAGGAAUAAGCACCGGCUAACUUCGUGCCAGCAGCCGCGGUAAUACGAAGGGUGCAAGCGUUAAUCGGAAUUACUGGGCGUAAAGCGUGCGUAGGCGGUUUCUUAAGUCUGCUGUGAAAUCCCCGGGCUCAACCUGGGAAUGGCAGUGGAUACUGGGAGGCUAGAGUGUGUCAGAGGGUGGUGGAAUUCCCGGUGUAGCGGUGAAAUGCGUAGAGAUCGGGAGGAACAUCAGUAGCGAAGGCGGCCACCUGGGACAACACUGACGCUGAGGCACGAAAGCGUGGGGAGCAAACAGGAUUAGAUACCCUGGUAGUCCACGCCCUAAACGAUGCGAACUGGAUGUUGGUCUCAACUCGGAGAUCAGUGUCGAAGCUAACGCGUUAAGUUCGCCGCCUGGGGAGUACGGUCGCAAGACUGAAACUCAAAGGAAUUGACGGGGUCAUA